CGGGAGGGAGGGCGCGUUCACUGCAAGAAAUGUCGCUCGCUCGCUCGCUCGCUCGCCCGAAGGCUAAAAAUAAUGUUUGUCAUACCGAAAGUGCUUUCUGGUUAAUCAAUUGCCGGCGGGACGCAACGUAACUUCCGGCACAACACAACAACACGACUUCACUGUAAAGUUAUUCGGAACAAGUUGGCACACACAAACGUGGAGCUGGACGUGCUGAUUGAUGUCACUUCCAUGUAUGGGCAUAGCCACGUGACAUCUAUCUUUGCACUUGCGAGCUCCAUCAACACUGGACAUCUUCUCCAUCUAUUCGUGCACGUAACGCGUACGACUCGACGUGACGUCAUUCACAUUUAUAUCCGAAUCAUGUGUGGUCGUCAAGUCUGCUCCGAGGGCACACAUGGGACGACGCCACGCAUGCACGCACGCACACAAACACGAGCAAACACAUGCACAUGCACAUCAAAUCAUCGAGUGAAACCUACAGUGGACGCCGUGACGUCGAUGACGGUGUGCACAUUUUAGGGGCGGGCAAAAGGACUGACGUCACAGCCGAAAAGCGCUGGCACCUGACUGGCCGCGCCCGCCCCACUUUUUUUUCGCCCUAAUGAGGGCAGCGCGUGCCUCGAAUACUACCAGACACGCACCAGGCACGCUCCCGCGACAGUGUGUGAGUGCGUGUGCGUUCUCGACACGUUCACGCAUAGUAAACAAACCUAAUACACAUCAAUCCAUUUGAAAGCUCCCCGUGAAGACGCGGGUGCACGCCGCAUCAGGAAGCGCGAAGGCAAAAUGUAGGCAUAUUCCAUCGCGCGCCAUCUGCCCAUUGACCCCCCGACGGUUGCCCAUCCUACCCCCCGACGGUUGCCCAUCCUACCCCCCGACGGUUGCCCAUCCUACCCCCCACCCCUCUCGCCACGCGCCCUUUUGUUCGCGUGUGAGCAAGUGGCUCGCGUGAAGGAAGGUGUCAACUCCACCAAGGCAAGCGGCGUCCAUGCGUACGUGUGAAGGCCUCGUGUCGCUUUGAGGAAGGGCGUGCGGGAGGGUUAGGGAGCUUGGCCCGCCCCGCCCCCCUUAUUCCCACCUUUUCCUCCCGGCGGGGUGCCGUGGGAACGUCUGCUGAGGUGCGACCACGCGUGAGGAGUCAUAAAUGUCAGGUGCCAAAUCGACACCCGCACGCGCACCGCAUGCAUGCAAGGGAUCACCAAACGCACGGCAAUCCUUUUUUGGUGGGUCAUCUUGUCUGUCAAUCAAGAGCAGGCGAAGAAAGACAGCAAGCGCUGGUGAACUUGUCAACUCAACGAAGUGUUGACAUUACGACGCGAGGCUGGUGCGCGGUCGGCAUCAGUGCAUGGCCAUUGAAAUGUAAACGCGCGCCAAACUUGACACCUAGCUCAUUUGGCUCGAUUCAAAUUCAAGCAUCAAAUGGGCUGAAAGCGCAAGUAGUAGGUCAUCUUGCAGCGCAAACUUAACACUUGAUUUGCUCCAAUGCACAACGAAGUAGAGCCAAAUGGGACCAAAUGGUGAUACCUUACUUGCCUUGCCAGUGAGGAGGACGACGACGGAGAAGGAGGCGAAGAGAGAGGAGAGCGGGAUGCGUGUCGCGAGGGAAGCAACCCUGCUUGCUGCCGUCGCCGCCGCCGCCGCCGCCGCCGCCGAGGGAGCCCAACGCAUGCGUGCUCGGGGGCGUGCCUGUGUGGGACAAGGACGAACGACGCGCGCCGCUGAAAGGACAAAAGAACGGGACUUGGACUUUUGCAAACGGGCUUGACAUCACAUUGAGUUGAGCACCCGAAGAUGUUGGGUUUGGAAAAUAGCAAAACCAUUUGAAAGACUCAAGCAAAUUGCUAAGUGUGAAAGCGUGUAUAGGUGUCACUUUUUUUUCUGUCGCUACAGUUUGUCACCAGCAUGACAAGUGUGUGCGUGUGGGAGGGAGGGAAGUAGGGGGGUCAAAUGGUCCUCAGUCAUAAAGCACAUGCCAGUGUUCCCGUGUUCACACGCUUAACACGCACCAAGGAUCACAAUCAAGUGGCAGCGAGGCUUCUCUUCAAAACUUGGGAAAAGCUCCAAAUGGCUUCAACUGCUCGUCGAGCCGAGAAUGAGCUUUGAAAUGUCCGCCGCCGCACGCGUUCUCACGCAGCAAUUGGGAUGCUCAGUGAGAAUCUUGACGCCCCCGGCUGGAGAACAGGCCAUGCAAACGUGUCGACUCCAGAAAGGUCUGCACGUCAACGAGUUUGCCAUUGAAAAAGGAUGAUUGGCGGCUGGCCGGCUGCACACCUGCGUCCAUUUCCUUUGGACACGAAAAAAACAACGUGACGCUCCUUGUCCAACAAAGCCAUGUCGUGACAUCAUCGCUUACGAGCUGAACGCAGCCAGAUGAUCAAAGCGCUUCGACAUUCUUUUGCCUUUAACAACAUUCUAGCGCCUUUUAACGACAUUCUUCGCACCAAACUACACGGCUGUAAAAGAAGCACAAGCGCAACUCCUACGGUGCCGCCGCGCGAGAAUAGCGGCUGACCAAAAAACUUUACAACCCGGAGAGCCAGCGGGACGUACGCACGCACUCACGCACUCACGCCUUGGCUCCCGCGGGAUUCCGGGUCAUCCGGCCCGCCCGCCGCAAAUCUGCAACGCCUUGUGCCACUGCAAAUUGAGAACAGAAGGGAGCCAAUGACCAUGAAUUGGAACACAUUGGGACAAAAGAAGAUUCAGCAAAUGUGGACAUGAGGCUUCUGGCCAGACUUGACCAGAUGAGGACAUCAAAAGUUGCCACGCAAAAAAAAGGACCUUGGAAUUUGAGACUCACUGUCUUUUUAAAUGGAUGUCAUGAACAAAGUACAAAUAAGUGACAGAAACUAAGCGGACGCACCAAGAUGAUGCGGUGCACAAAGUUCAUAAAUAAUAAGAAUUAAAAAAAAGAGUGACGACAGACA
Long non-coding RNA from Syngnathus typhle (broad-nosed pipefish), 2930 nucleotides. RefSeq lists it as uncharacterized. NCBI's taxonomy places the organism in Eukaryota, Metazoa, Chordata, Actinopteri, Syngnathiformes, Syngnathidae. The transcript is spliced from 2 exons. The record is from RefSeq and is a predicted model, not a curated record.